UACAGAGGUCUCAAGCGUUGUUCGGAUUCAUUGGGCGUAAAGGGUGCGUAGGCGGCGCGGUAAGUCGGGGGUGAAAUCUCGGAGCUUAACUCCGAAACUGCAUUCGAUACUGCCGUGCUUGAGGACUGGAGAGGAGACUGGAAUUUACGGUGUAGCGGUGAAAUGCGUAGAUAUCGUAAGGAAGACCGGUGGCGAAGGCUAGUCUCUGGACAGUCACUGACACUGAGGCACGAAGGCCAGGGGAGCAAUCGGG
This 253-nucleotide ribosomal RNA is filed under the name uncultured bacterium. RNAcentral's name for it is "partial 16S ribosomal RNA". It matches the Rfam family "Bacterial small subunit ribosomal RNA", at positions 524 to 776 of the family's 1533-position model. The record is from RNAcentral.